This 213-nucleotide ribosomal RNA is filed under the name uncultured Glomeromycotina. Its description in RNAcentral is "partial small subunit ribosomal RNA". The stretch from base 82 to 213 matches the Rfam family "Eukaryotic small subunit ribosomal RNA", at positions 731 to 864 of the family's 1831-position model. Lineage: Eukaryota; Fungi; Glomeromycota. The record is from RNAcentral.
GCCUGGCUGGCAGGUCCGCCUCACCGCGUGCACUUGACCGGCCGGGCCUUUUCUUCUGGAGAACCGCAUGCCCUUCACUGGGUGUGUUGGGGACCAGGACUUUUACUUUGAAAAAAUUAGAGUGUUCAAAGCAGGCCUUUGCUCGAAUACGUUAGCAUGGAAUAAUAGAAUAGGACGUGCGGUCCUAUUUUGUUGGUUUCUAGGACCGCCGUA